AUAAUAUUAUAUUUAAAAUACGGUUUGAUCAAAAUUGCUACUCCACCGUGCUCAUUUUGGGCAUUAUGAUAGUGGGAAUUAUAUCCCGAAAUUUUAAGAUGCUGAGUAUCUUUCAGCCAAGUUUCAUUGAGUAGACAGAUAUCAACAUUUUGCUCAACUAAAAAUUUAGACAAUAAGGGUUUUUUACUAUAUAUACUUUGAAUAUUGUACUGAGCUAUACAUAACUGCUGAAUGUUCUGUACUGCACUGUCCAUUAAUGUGACAGAUUUUUUAAAAGUAAGUCUUUAAUGAGCAGUGUAGUCACAGGUUCAUUAUCUGUUUUAUUACCCAAUUCCACUAAAGUUUGGACCAUUGCCAUCAGAAUAUUAUUAUUGUUUGCAAUUUGAGCCUUAAGUUGAGUUUGGUUCAAGUUGGGUUCAGGCACUGUUUUAUUUACACUAUUUACAAUUUUUACAUUUUUAUUUGAUUUAUGUAUAUUUUGGCUUAUUGAUGGUAGGGUCUUAACAAUGCUGCUCGACUGUGCAGGUAAAGACGGAAAAUCAGUUGACGUAAGUGUAUUAGCCACAGAGGCAUAAGUAAUUUUACCCUUUUUUUCAAGUAUUUUUUUCAUUUUUAUUGGGCAAGAUUUGGAAAUAGCCAGGUGAGGGCCACUGCAAUUGACACAACACAGGAUGGUUGAACUUGAAGCACCGGAAGCAUUGCUGCAACGGCGGGACAUAUUCAAACACCCUGAACGAAAAUAGGUCAUAUUGGAUGUUGUCAGG
Molecule: long non-coding RNA, 764 nt
Organism: Melitaea cinxia (Glanville fritillary)
Lineage: Eukaryota; Metazoa; Arthropoda; Insecta; Lepidoptera; Nymphalidae
Exons: 2
Source: RefSeq, a predicted model, not a curated record